Molecule: non-coding RNA, 160 nt
Organism: Theobroma cacao (cacao)
Lineage: Eukaryota; Viridiplantae; Streptophyta; Magnoliopsida; Malvales; Malvaceae
Source: RefSeq, a predicted model, not a curated record
GAAAUUCACAAAAUUUCAAAAAAUCAAGUGACAAAAGGUGGUGAAUCCUCCGCUAAGGGCAAAGAAAUUGUACCCGAGGAUCGAUAGUCAGAGUACUCUAGAAAUUCGACUCCCGAAAUAACUCUGAAUAGGCUGUAGAUAGCUGAUUUCAUCGAGGCUA